RNAcentral lists this ribosomal RNA (406 nucleotides) under uncultured bacterium. Its description in RNAcentral is "partial 16S ribosomal RNA". It matches the Rfam family "Bacterial small subunit ribosomal RNA", at positions 28 to 526 of the family's 1533-position model. The record is from RNAcentral.
GAUGAACGCUAGCUACAGGCUUAACACAUGCAAGUCGAGGGACCGGCGCACGGGUGAGUAACACGUAUCCAACCUGCCCUUUACUCGGGGAUAGCGUUUCGAAAGAAAGAUUAAUACCCGAUGUAAAGGAUGGGGAUGCGUUCCAUUAGGUUGUUGGUGAGGUUACGGCUCACCAAGCCUUCGAUGGAUAGGGGUUCUGAGAGGAAGGUCCCCCACAUUGGAACUGGGACCCGGUCCAAACGCCUACGCGAGGCAGCAGUUAGGAAUAUAGGUCGAUGGGCGUUAGCCUGACCCAGCCAAGUAGCGUAAAGGGUUCUGGCUUAGUGGUCGUAAUCUUCUUUUAUAUAAGAAUAUGUAUUAAAUGAAUAAGGAUCGGCUAACUCCGUGCCAGCAGCCGCGGUAAUAC